UGGUCUACGACUGUGCCGCCGGCGAAUGGAGCCGUGUGGCCGAUUUACCGGAGGUCAUUCGCCGAGCCGCCUGCGUCUGUGUUGAGUGCUAACUUGCGCCGUGUGAUCUUGUAUCAAUAGAAGAAAGUACUUGUAAUUCAUAACAUUGAUAACAUAUCUCUGCAUUCUUUCUUCCCCAUUGGUAAAAGAAGAAACUUUUGGUAAUCACUAACUUCGGUCAAUUUAUGAUGUUUGCUGAGAAAAUGGGGCUUUUUAUCUAGUACUUAAUUGUUUAGUAGUUUGGAGCAACUUAUAUGCACAGAUUAUAACAAAUUGAUUGUAAUUUAGAGAGUGUUAAUUGUUCAAUAUUAUACUUGUACUAGUA
Molecule: non-coding RNA, 364 nt
Organism: Nicotiana tabacum (common tobacco)
Lineage: Eukaryota; Viridiplantae; Streptophyta; Magnoliopsida; Solanales; Solanaceae
Source: RefSeq, a predicted model, not a curated record